Molecule: ribosomal RNA, 402 nt
Filed under: uncultured Phyllobacterium sp.
Lineage: Bacteria; Pseudomonadati; Pseudomonadota; Alphaproteobacteria; Hyphomicrobiales; Phyllobacteriaceae
Description: bacterial SSU rRNA
Rfam family: Bacterial small subunit ribosomal RNA
Source: RNAcentral
AGUGGGGAAUAUUGGACAAUGGGCGAAAGCCUGAUCCAGCCAUGCCGCGUGAGUGAUGAAGGCCCUAGGGUUGUAAAGCUCUUUCAACGGUGAAGAUAAUGACGGUAACCGUAGAAGAAGCCCCGGCUAACUUCGUGCCAGCAGCCGCGGUAAUACGAAGGGGGCUAGCGUUGUUCGGAAUUACUGGGCGUAAAGCGCACGUAGGCGGACUAUUAAGUCAGGGGUGAAAUCCCGGGGCUCAACCCCGGAACUGCCUUUGAUACUGGUAGUCUUGAGUUCGAGAGAGGUGAGUGGAAUUCCGAGUGUAGAGGUGAAAUUCGUAGAUAUUCGGAGGAACACCAGUGGCGAAGGCGGCUCACUGGCUCGAUACUGACGCUGAGGUGCGAAAGUGUGGGGAGCAAA